UUGGCUGAUCACACCCCCUGAGACUCCUUUUUUUAGCGUUAAAAAAUGUUGAAUAGACAGCCAGCUUUUGGGAGCAGCCCUGUGCAGAAGAAAGAUGGAGAAGCAUCUGAGGACCUCCUUGGUGGUUUUGUGGCUUCAUUUUUGUUGGGUGAGUGGCAAAAACCAAGUGGAACAGCACCCUCCAUCCCAGAUCAUCCAGGAGGGAGAGAACUGCACAUUUCAAUGCAACUAUACAGUGAGCCCCUUUAGCCAUUUAAAAUGGUACAAGCAGGGCACUGGGAGAAGUCCUGCUUUCCUGAUAAUCGUGACUGACGACGACAGCAAAAACCCAGGUGGCAGGUACACAGUGACUCUGGAUGCAACCUCCAAGCACAGCUCCUUGCACAUCACAGCCGCCCAGCUUAGCGACUCAGCUGUCUACAUCUGUGUGGUGAGCGCACUGUGUUCCCCAGGCACUUGCAGCCAGUAUCCAAACCUGCACCUGCAGGUUGUUGAGGACGCUUAG
Molecule: non-coding RNA, 505 nt
Organism: Acinonyx jubatus (cheetah)
Lineage: Eukaryota; Metazoa; Chordata; Mammalia; Carnivora; Felidae
Source: the annotation of a RefSeq genome assembly